Molecule: unclassified non-coding RNA, 1538 nt
Filed under: Megachile rotundata (alfalfa leafcutting bee)
Lineage: Eukaryota; Metazoa; Arthropoda; Insecta; Hymenoptera; Megachilidae
Description: rING finger protein 121, transcript variant X5
Source: RNAcentral
UCACACUUGAACGAAAAAUAGCGAGGAAAAAUUGACUGUGGAAGAAAAAUGGAACAUAUACGAGAAGCAACACCAUGGACACGAAUCGAUGCAUGCCAAAAUGUUACUGGUUUUAUUAGUAACUGUACUAGUAGUACAAGUUAUAAUAGUUGAAUGGAAAAAAAUACAUUACAAAUCGUAUCAGCUCAUUACCUUAGUUGCUAUGUGGAUUAUUCCAUUUGGAUUAAGUUUAAAAAAUCACUGGUGGAGGUUUAUAUUCCUUUGGUUAGUAACAUCUUGUAUAACAGGAUUAGUAGUACGAAAGGCUGUUCAAAAGCCUAUAGCAGGUACAACACCCAGAUUGGUGUACAAAUGGUUUCUUUUUAUUUAUAAACUAAGUUAUGUGUUGGGUAUUAUAAGUUAUAUUAUAUUAUUAGCUACAUUUUUUGGUUUAAAUCUUGUAUUUGAAGUGAAACCUCAAGUAUGGAUAGAUUGUGGUAUGCUCUUGCUAUUUUAUGGUCUUUAUUUUGGAGUGUUAGGAAGAGAUGUAGCAGAAAUAUGCGCAGAUAAGAUGGCUUCGCAUGUUGGGUAUUAUGUACCAGGACAUAUGCCAACAAGGACUUUAGAACCUGGUGUGUGUGCUGUAUGUGGAAAUAGACUGUUAGUGUCAGAGAAUGAACCUGGCGUUCUUGAAGACACAUAUAAGCUUAGUUGUGAACAUGUGUUUCACGAAUUUUGUAUUAGAGGAUGGUGCAUAGUCGGAAAAAAACAAACAUGUCCAUAUUGCAAAGAAAAAGUUGAUCUCAAGAAAAUGUUUUGCAAUCCAUGGGAACGACCUCAUGUCUUGUAUGGUCAGCUAUUAGACUGGAUUAGGUGGUCAAUCGCUUGGCAACCAUUAAUUUUGUUUCUUGUUCAAGGUAUCAAUUGGGGCCUAGGCCUCGAAAUAACAGAGGAAUCAAAUUUUAAUGAUGGAUACAUAAAUAAGACAAGAUUAGAAGUCAAUAUUCAUUGAUGUAAUGAUCUGAUGAAUCAAUAGUAACAUGUGUGAAGUGAAAGGGAGGAUGUAAUUGUUUUUAGUUGGAUGUACAAAAGAAAUGUACAAGAAAGAGGCAUACAAGAAAGAAAGAAAUCAAUGAUAACAACUUUGUCAGUAAUGUUACUAAAAGUUUAAUUAACCUCUCACCAUGAUCCCUUUAGCAAAAACAACUUGUAUCACAUCUCGCAUUCAUAGGACAGGUGAACAAACCACGGACAAGGUGAAGAACACACUGAACCUGCAAGAUUGGAUGACACAGGUGUGAGGUGAAGACAAUUUGACAAGUUUGGCUGUUGGAUUGAGACGCCACGAAUACGAUGGGAUUCAUCAGGGAUGGGUCAAAGGGUAGACAAUCACAAACACUGGGAAAUUUUAUAGAUAUAUUUAUUGAGUACUUAGCGUGUAAGAGUAUAGAAUAAUAUGUUACCUUAUCCGUUAAAUAUCAUUACAUGGUAUCAUUGUAUAAUGAUGUAGUCUUUAAAAUAAAACCUCGCGCGGACAGAUUGCGCGUGUCGUGUGUGUA